CGAGAGCUCCAAGUGGGC
RNAcentral lists this small nuclear RNA (18 nucleotides) under Arabidopsis thaliana (thale cress). RNAcentral describes it as "snRNA_01445". The record is from RNAcentral. Lineage: Eukaryota; Viridiplantae; Streptophyta; Magnoliopsida; Brassicales; Brassicaceae.